GAUAUGUGAAUACAUAGCAUAUCAGAAGGCACACCCGGAGAACUGAAACAUCUUAGUACCCGGAGGAAGAGAAAGAAAAUUCGAUUCCCUUAGUAGCGGCGAGCGAAACGGGAAGAGCCCAAACCAACAAGCUUGCUUGUUGGGGUUGUAGGACACUCUAUACGGAGUUACAAAGGACGACAUUAGACGAAUCAUCUGGAAAGAUGAAUCAAAGAAGGUAAUAAUCCUGUAGUCGAAAAUGUUGUCUCUCUUGAGUGGAUCCUGAGUACGACGGAGCACGUGAAAUUCCGUCGGAAUCUGGGAGGACCAUCUCCUAAGGCUAAAUACUCUCUAGUGACCGAUAGUGAACCAGUACCGUGAGGGAAAGGUGAAAAGCACCCCGGAAGGGGAGUGAAAUAGAACCUGAAACCGUGUGCUUACAAGUAGUCAGAGCCCGUUAAUGGGUGAUGGCGUGCCUUUUGUAGAAUGAACCGGCGAGUUACGAUUUGAUGCAAGGUUAAGCAGUAAAUGUGGAGCCGUAGCGAAAGCGAGUCUGAAUAGGGCGUUUAGUAUUUGGUCGUAGACCCGAAACCAGGUGAUCUACCCUUGGUCAGGUUGAAGUUCAGGUAACACUGAAUGGAGGACCGAACCGACUUACGUUGAAAAGUGAGCGGAUGAACUGAGGGUAGCGGAGAAAUUCCAAUCGAACCUGGAGAUAGCUGGUUCUCUCCGAAAUAGCUUUAGGGCUAGCCUCAAGUGAUGAUUAUUGGAGGUAGAGCACUGUUUGGACGAGGGGCCCCUCUCGGGUUACCGAAUUCAGACAAACUCCGAAUGCCAAUU
Molecule: ribosomal RNA, 819 nt
Filed under: Staphylococcus aureus
Lineage: Bacteria; Bacillati; Bacillota; Bacilli; Caryophanales; Staphylococcaceae
Description: partial 23S ribosomal RNA
Rfam family: Bacterial large subunit ribosomal RNA
Source: RNAcentral